Non-coding RNA from Pelobates cultripes (western spadefoot toad), 276 nucleotides. The record is from the annotation of a GenBank genome assembly. NCBI's taxonomy places the organism in Eukaryota, Metazoa, Chordata, Amphibia, Anura, Pelobatidae.
ACAGACACUCCCACACAAAAUCCUCCCCUCUGCCUGUGAUAUGAUUACUGAACACAAUGGUUAAUAUAAUUAUCACAGGCAGAGCAAUACAGUAUUAUAAAACAUAUCACAGGGAGCCCAAAACAUGCAAUAACCCCAUAAAGUAUAUCCUCGGAACCGGGGGAUCUGGGUGAACCACAUAUCCAAAAUUCACCCAGAUCCGUUCAGUAGUUUGGAAGAUACAGUUUAAUGCAGAUUCCACAGAACAUAUACAGGCUAUAUGAAAAAUAAUUACUG